ACGUUUGUGGUUCAAUCGGCAGAAUAGCGGUCUCCAAAACCGUUGAUCUAGGUUCAAACCCUAGCAAGCGUG
This 72-nucleotide transfer RNA is filed under the name Candidatus Limosilactobacillus intestinavium. RNAcentral describes it as "tRNA-Trp". It matches the Rfam family "tRNA". From Rfam's summary of the family: Transfer RNA (tRNA) molecules are approximately 80 nucleotides in length. Their secondary structure includes four short double-helical elements and three loops (D, anti-codon, and T loops). Further hydrogen bonds mediate the characteristic L-shaped molecular structure. tRNAs have two regions of fundamental functional importance: the anti-codon, which is responsible for specific mRNA codon recognition, and the 3' end, to which the tRNAs corresponding amino acid is attached (by aminoacyl-tRNA synthetases). tRNAs cope with the degeneracy of the genetic code in two manners: having more than one tRNA (with a specific anti-codon) for a particular amino acid; and 'wobble' base-pairing, i.e. permitting non-standard base-pairing at the 3rd anti-codon position. The record is from RNAcentral. Lineage: Bacteria; Bacillati; Bacillota; Bacilli; Lactobacillales; Lactobacillaceae.